Molecule: ribosomal RNA, 328 nt
Filed under: uncultured marine eukaryote
Lineage: Eukaryota
Description: SSU rRNA
Rfam family: Eukaryotic small subunit ribosomal RNA
Source: RNAcentral
UCUUGGGGAACUUGUUUGCACUUUACUGUGUGACUUGAGAUCCAGGACUUUUACUUUGAGGAAAUGAGAGUGUUUCAAGCAGGCGGAAGCCCUGAAUACGUUAGCAUGGAAUAAUAGCAUCGGACCUCCUUCCAAAGCUGUUGGUUCAUUGGAAAGAGGUAAUGGUAAACAGGGAUAGUUGGGGGAUUCGUAUUUAACUGUCAGAGGUGAAAUUCUUGGAUUUGUUAAAGACGAACUACUGCGAAAGCAUCUGCCAAGGAUGUUUUCAUUGAUCAAGAACGAAAGUUAGGGGAUCGAAGACGAUCAGAUACCGUCCCUAGUCUUAACC